UCGGAUCGCAGGCUGCAACCCGCCUGCGUGAAGUCGGAAUCGCUAGUAAUCGCGGAUCAGCAUGCCGCGGUGAAUACGUUCCCGGGCCUUGUACACACCGCCCGUCACACCAUGAGAGUCGGGAACACCCGAAGUCCGUAGCCUAACCGCAAGGAGGGCGCGGCCGAAGGUGGGUUCGAUAAUUGGGGUGAAGUCGUAACAAGGUAAC
Molecule: ribosomal RNA, 208 nt
Filed under: uncultured bacterium
Lineage: Bacteria
Description: partial 16S ribosomal RNA
Rfam family: Bacterial small subunit ribosomal RNA
Source: RNAcentral